ACUCAAAAGAUAGCUCGGUUGGUAGAGCAUUAGACUCAUAAUUGCAGGGUUCUGGGUUCGAGUGCCACGCUGGGCA
Molecule: non-coding RNA, 76 nt
Organism: Podarcis lilfordi (Lilford's wall lizard)
Lineage: Eukaryota; Metazoa; Chordata; Lepidosauria; Squamata; Lacertidae
Source: the annotation of a GenBank genome assembly